RNAcentral lists this ribosomal RNA (253 nucleotides) under uncultured bacterium. RNAcentral describes it as "partial 16S ribosomal RNA". It matches the Rfam family "Bacterial small subunit ribosomal RNA", at positions 524 to 776 of the family's 1533-position model. The record is from RNAcentral.
UACGGAGGGUGCAAGCGUUAAUCGGAAUUACUGGGCGUAAAGAGUGCGUAGGCGGCUCGUUAAGUCAGAUGUGAAAGCCCUGGGCUCAACCUAGGAACUGCAUUUGAAACUGCUGGUCUUGAGUAAUGGAGAGGAAAGCGGAAUUCCUGGUGGAGCGGUGAAAUGCGUAGAUAUCAGGAGGAACGCCGGCGGCGAAAGCGACUCUCUGGCCUGUUACUGACGCUGAGGCGCGAAAGCUAGGGGAGCAAACGGG